RNAcentral lists this ribosomal RNA (253 nucleotides) under uncultured bacterium. Its description in RNAcentral is "partial 16S ribosomal RNA". It matches the Rfam family "Bacterial small subunit ribosomal RNA", at positions 524 to 776 of the family's 1533-position model. The record is from RNAcentral.
UACAGAGGGGGCAAGCGUUAUUCGGAAUUACUGGGCGUAAAGUGUGCGCAGGUGGCCAACUAAGUCAGACGUGAAAUCCCCAGGCUCAACUUGGGAACUGCGUCUGAUACUGGAUGGCUUGAAUUCGGGAGAGGGAUGCAGAAUUCCAGGUGUAGCGGUGAAAUGCGUAGAUAUCUGGAGGAAUACCGGUGGCGAAGGCGGCAUCCUGGACCGAGAUUGACACUGAUGAGCGAAAGCUAGGGGAGCAAACGGG